This 1215-nucleotide long non-coding RNA is filed under the name Homo sapiens (human). RNAcentral's name for it is "long intergenic non-protein coding RNA 1322". Lineage: Eukaryota; Metazoa; Chordata; Mammalia; Primates; Hominidae. The record is from RNAcentral.
AGAGAUGGGUUUCUGGACUCGCGAAGCAGCUGCAACAAGGCAUCACUCACUGUAUAAGUAUUUCCAUUUCUGAGAGCAAAAGGAAGAACUUAAGCGGGCGGCACUUGGAGUGUAAAUUGCUUUGUAGUAUUUAAAGGCAGAAUGGAUCCUGGGCAGCCGAGCUGAUCAUGAGGUUCCUGAGGCCUCCUAGCCAUGCUUCCUGUGCAGCCUAUGGAACUGAUCACUGUUGUAUUUUUAAACCUUAUUCCUGGAAGCACUACGGAUAUCAGAUCAAUUUAGAAAGCCAAAGAGUACCUCUGGGAAUGAAAUGGUAGUAAUAGAAACAAUAUUUGGCCAAACUAUCGCUGUAUGCCAAUGAUGCCAAAAAUCACAGUAACCUGGCAGCAACAAACCGGCAGGACUUCCUGUGAAAUCAUGACCACCAUGUGCUCUUUCAGCCUCUAUCAGUUCCUACCUCUAAGCACCUGAGAGCCAAAGCAAACCACAGGAAACCACAGGGCAAAUUUAUGUUACUCUGGAAGUAGAGAAAAUCAUGAUGGCAGAUCGGAGGCAGGACUAAUCUGCAACUUCCACUGAGACAGACAGACCAGUGUGUGGAGACUCACAUCAUGAACUUUUGCUCCAAGAACUACUGCAGGACCAUACCAGGAAAGCUGAGAGAAUCCACAGAAGGAUCUUGAUCACCACCGCAGGCUCCCUGAGAUGCUGAAGAAAACUUACUCAAACUAAACGUCAGCUUUUCCCGGCUCUCAAGCCUGCUGGUCCCUGAACUAAAACUCACAUUAUCAACUCUACUGGUUCUUAGGCCUUUGGAGUCAGACUGGAACUACAGCAUUGACUCUUCCGGAACUCCAGCUUACUGACUACAGAUCUUGGAACUUUUCAGCUUCCACAACCAUGCUUUGGUAUCAGGAUGAUGCUGGCCUCAUAAAAUGAGUCAGGGAGGAUUCCCUCUUUUUCUAUUGAUUGGAAUAGUUUCAGAAGGAAUGGUACCAGCUCCUCUUUGUACCUCUGGUAGAAUUCAGCUGUGAAUCCAUCUGGUCCUGGAGUUUUUUUGGUUGAAUGAAAGCCAAGCAUAUUCCAUCAUUUCCUAAAACCAAGAUAGAGCACAUAUGGGAACUUGUGAAAUAAGGAAACCAAAGCACAAAGAGAGAAAGAAAAGAAAGAGAAAAAAGGAAGAAAGAAAAGAAAGAUGAAAGAAAGAAAGAGAAAGAA